Molecule: ribosomal RNA, 467 nt
Filed under: uncultured bacterium
Lineage: Bacteria
Description: partial 16S ribosomal RNA
Rfam family: Bacterial small subunit ribosomal RNA
Source: RNAcentral
GACGAACGCUGGCGGCGUGCUUAACACAUGCAAGUCGAACGGAAAGGCCCUGCUUUUGUGGGGUGCUCGAGUGGCGAACGGGUGAGUAACACGUGAGUAACCUGCCCUUGACUUUGGGAUAACUUCAGGAAACUGGGGCUAAUACCGGAUAGGAGCUCCUGCUGCAUGGUGGGGGUUGGAAAGUUUCGGCGGUCGGGGAUGGACUCGCGGCUUAUCAGCUUGUUGGUGGGGUAGUGGCUUACCAAGGCUUUGACGGGUAGCCGGCCUGAGAGGGUGACCGGCCACAUGGGGACUGGGAUACGGCCCAGACUCCUACGGGAGGCAGCGGUGGGGAUUAUUGCACAAGGGCGGAAGCCUGAUGCAGCAACGCCGCGUGCGGGAUGACGGCCUUCGGGUUGUAAACCGCUUUCGCCUGUGACGAAGCGUGAGUGACGGUAAUGGGUAAAGAAGCACCGGCUAACUACGUG